GCAGCGGCCGGCUCACCUCUAGCGACCGGGGCCGGUUCCGACCGGAUGUGACGUAUCCGGGAGCGACGAGUCGGCGCGGGCUCGAGGCCCCGGAUGCCUUCCGGGUCGUGGUUGGUCCGUGCCGUGGGACUGAGUCUUCUGCGCUUGUUGCCGGGACGACCCGCUCGGGGUUAGGGGCCCUGGUCGGGCCCAAACGCUCUGCGACCCCUGGGGGCAGUGGGACACGGGCUUAGCCGCUAGCAGGGCCGGAUCGCCAGCGGGCCGCCGGUGGUGGCGGGAGCCCAGGGUCAGGCGCCGCCUAUUCCCACCUUCCUUCGUUCGGCCGUGGACCCAGUGUCUAGUUCCACACUGUGGGAUAUCAGGGGGCUUGUCCGCUUUUCAAAACUUUUUGGCGCCAGCAGCAGGGUCUGAAGGCCUCACGGACAAGGAAUAGACAAUCAGAUGGCAUAAGUUGGGCAAAAUGGGGAGACAAUAAGCAAGUGCUGAGUCUAAGGAGACUUGCAUGUUCCGAAAGGCUGCUGGAAGAACUUGUCACGGCUGUAAUGGAAGCUGGUGGCCCCCAGAGUUACAGAGAGAGACAGAGCAUGAACGAAGGAGGGUCAGACAGAGGGAGACACAGAAUCCUAAACAGGCUCCAGGCUCUGAGCUGUCAGCACAGAGCCCGACGCGUGGCUCAAACUCACGGACUGCGAGAUCAUGACCUGAACCGAAGUCGGACGCUUAACCGACUGAGCCACCCAGGCUCCUCUGUAUUUUAAUUUUUCAAGUACAGAAUAACUUUAAUAAAAAUCUGUUAAUUUAAAAAGUAAAAAUAUAUUAAGUUUAAACUUA
This is a long non-coding RNA of Neofelis nebulosa (Clouded leopard), 831 nucleotides long. RefSeq lists it as uncharacterized. The transcript is spliced from 2 exons. The record is from RefSeq and is a predicted model, not a curated record. NCBI's taxonomy places the organism in Eukaryota, Metazoa, Chordata, Mammalia, Carnivora, Felidae.